This 513-nucleotide ribosomal RNA is filed under the name uncultured bacterium. RNAcentral's name for it is "bacterial SSU rRNA". It matches the Rfam family "Bacterial small subunit ribosomal RNA", at positions 539 to 1047 of the family's 1533-position model. The record is from RNAcentral.
CGUUACUCGGAAUUACUGGGCGUAAAGAGCGUGUAGGCGGGUAAAUAAGUUGGAAGUGAAAUCCUAUGGCUCAACCAUAGAACUGCUUCCAAAACUGUUAACCUAGAAUGUGGGAGAGGUAGAUGGAAUUUCUGGUGUAGGGGUAAAAUCCGUAGAUAUCAGAAGGAAUACCGAUUGCGAAGGCGAUCUACUGGAACACAAUUGACGCUGAGACGCGAAAGCGUGGGGAGCAAACAGGAUUAGAUACCCUGGUAGCCCACGCCCUAAACGAUGUACACUAGUUGUUGUGAGGCUAGACCUUGCAGUAAUGCAGUUAACACAUUAAGUGUACCGCCUGGGGAGUACGGUCGCAAGAUUAAAACUCAAAGGAAUAGACGGGGACCCGCACAAGCGGGGGAGCAUGUGGUUUAAUUCGACGAUACUCGAAGAACCUUACCUGGUCUUGACAUAGAAAUAACUUUCCAGAUAUGGAUUGGUGCCUGCUUGCAGUAUCUUUCAUACCGGUGCUGCACG